RNAcentral lists this ribosomal RNA (353 nucleotides) under uncultured bacterium. Its description in RNAcentral is "bacterial SSU rRNA". It matches the Rfam family "Bacterial small subunit ribosomal RNA", at positions 917 to 1271 of the family's 1533-position model. The record is from RNAcentral.
GGGCCCGCACAAGCGGUGGAGCAUGUGGUUUAAUUCGAUGAUACGCGAGGAACCUUACCAGGGCUUAAAUGGGAAAUGACAGGGGCAGAGACGCCCCCUUCUUCGGACAUUUUUCAAGGUGCUGCAUGGUUGUCGUCAGCUCGUGCCGUGAGGUGUCAGGUUAAGUCCUAUAACGAGCGCAACCCCUACCGUUAGUUGCCAGCGUGUAAUGACGGGGACUCUAACGGAACUGCCGGUGCAAACCGUGAGGAAGGUGGGGACGACGUCAAAUCAUCACGGCCCUUACGUCCCUGGGCUACACACGUACUACAAUGCUACGGACAAAGGGCAGCAAGUUCGCGAGGACAAGCAAA